GAUGAAGAACGUAGCGAAAUGCGAUAAGUAAUGUGAAUUGCAGAAUUCAGUGAAUCAUCGAGUCUUUGAACGCACAUUGCGCCCCCUGGUAUUCCGGGGGGCAUGCCUGUCCGAGCGUCAUUGCCGCCCUCAAGCACGGCUUGUGUGUUGGGCCCCCGCCCCCCGGCUUCGGGGGGCGGGCCCGAAAGGCAGCGGCGGCACCGCGUCCGGUCCUCGAGCGUAUGGGGCUUCGUCACCCGCUCUGUAGGCCAGGCCGGCGCCCGCCGGCGACCCCAAUCAAUCUUUCCAGGUUGACCUCGGAUCAGGUAGGGAUACCCGCUGAACUUAAGCAUAUCAAUAAGCGGAGGA
RNAcentral lists this unclassified non-coding RNA (348 nucleotides) under soil metagenome. RNAcentral describes it as "partial contains 5.8S ribosomal RNA, internal transcribed spacer 2, and large subunit ribosomal RNA". The stretch from base 1 to 120 matches the Rfam family "5.8S ribosomal RNA", at positions 35 to 154 of the family's 154-position model. The record is from RNAcentral.